Molecule: long non-coding RNA, 4825 nt
Filed under: Gallus gallus (chicken)
Lineage: Eukaryota; Metazoa; Chordata; Aves; Galliformes; Phasianidae
Description: lncRNA (ENSGALG00010004357.1)
Source: RNAcentral
GGAGGUUGAUCCUUCACCACAACUGAGAGGCUCAUCUCUCACCACGACAGACUUGAGGGGUUCUCUGCCAUCUGAUCCUUCACCACAACAGUGGAGGCUGAUCUCUCACCGCAACACAGAGGCUGAUCUCUCAUGAUCUCUCACCACGACACGAGCUUCCUGCCUUCAGAUCCUUCUCUAUGGACCGUUUGCUGACGGACUUCCCUGGGCCUGCUACCUGAGACCUGCUGCUUCCUCCCUGACCUGCACCCUCUCAUUGCCAAGACCGGCCUCGCUGCUCCUGCCCUUCGGCCUCGGACCGUCAGAACGUCGUGCAACGGGACUACUGCCGGAUCCUGGUGAUCCCAGUCACCAGCUGAGAGGACAGAGGAGAACACAACUUGCGCUCCCGAUCCCUUCAGAAGUCUUCCCAGAGCCCUGACGUCCCUUCUGAUCACCCAAAGGCUUCUUUUGCCUACCUCUUCAUUUCCAAUGUGGAAAACCAGUAACGGAGAAUAAUCGGAGGGCUUAACGAGGUGUCGUUAAUCGGAGGCUUAAUGACAACACACCUCCCUGUGGGAUGGAUCUGAGCAGCAUAUCGGGCCCUCGGUUCCCCUCAGAAGGGAGUUCCCUAUGACGACAAGUUUUUUUGUUUUGUUUUGUUCCCCUCCCCCCCCCCCCCCUCCCCCCCCAAGUGACGUAGCAAAAUGGGGAGCAGACUGACUAGCCUUGGGCAACCUCUCCUGCAUGGAUGGACUUUCACCAACAUCCACAGCUCCUACUCCCUCCAGCUUCAGAGCCUCAUACCUGUUUUGUAAGGGCACCUGGGAAGGUGGGACAGGCUGAGGGGCAGUCUGCUUGCUGCCCUGAACAGGGACUUGUUUCCAUCCCUCGCUGUCUUUGAGGUCACUCCUUCCCACCUGACUGUGAGACAGCAGAUGAUCCCCCACUGCUUGAGGAGCAUCUCCCCUGCACCCUUUCUGUAGGGAUGGCAGAGUGCAACUUUACUAGUCAAUCCCCUUCCCACAAUCCCGGAUGCUCCUCCCUUUCUUCCUCCUUCUGCUCUACCACCAGCCUGAGCAGAUCCUCCACCUGCUCACACUGCACACAGGUAGUAUCCUGGCUGCCCUCCUGUACCAGUAACAUGGCCAGGCAUUCUCCGCAACCUGAGACCCGAACUGUGGCAUGGACAUUCAUGCUUUCUGUCUGAGUCUCCACGUUCCUUUUAGCAGCAGCUCACCUCCGUUUGGUGACCAUGGUUGCACCUCGGUGUGUCCAGAGAGCAACGACCUGUUAAGUGACCUGUUAAGUGCUAAGUGCUAAGCCCCCUCCUAUAUGGCAAGGUGCCCUGCCCUGCCCUGCCUGCCCGCUGAUUUGCUCGGGGUUUGCCCUAGAAAUCACUCUUUUCACAGCAAGACAACAACCUGCCUUCCUGCAUAGUCACGCAAAUAGGUGGCUUACUAUUUCACCUCCUCAGAACAGCCCAAGUGAUUCAAACACCCUGACUCCUCCUCUCCAUCCCCAAGGCUUUUUCUAGGCAGGGGGCGUGGAUGCAGAGCCGUUGCCCUGGCAACGCCCACUUCAUGUCAGCCACUCUCCCAAGAGCUGCCAGGCUGCUCUGUUAUCCCGGGGUUCCCUGAAUAAAGGAACCGGCCAAAACACCCCUGUACCUCGUGAUCAGUCACUGUGGUUCUGGCUGGGACAGCUCCGAAGCAGCUAACCUCGGCAAUCAAAUUGAGUUACUAUCUUCACGUACUUCAAAAUUUCUCAGUUUUCUAAAGUCAAGUAUUGAUAGUGAAAUCUCAAAACUGCUUAACCAAUGUUUAUACAGAUUUUUUUUUUCUGAUCAAUCUUGAAUCAUUCUAAAGCAACUUCAAAAUAAUAUAAAGUUAUUACCAUAUGAAUUGCUUUUAUUUUGAUAAAAAAUAUUACUUUAGAUCUCUAAAUCUAAACUUCAUAAGCCAAACUUUACCUUUUUAGUCAACUUUUUUUUUUUUUUUUUUUUAAGUUUUGUGAGUGUGUGUGUGUGAGUGUGUGAAAAAGUAAUGUAUUUGGAUCUCAGUACAUGACAUAUGAUCCUCGGUAAUGAAAUUUGUAUGGCUCAGAAACGUGCAACAAUUUUAUCAGUGUAUUUUCCAAAUAUUUUGAUGCACUUGAGAAGAAAAAAAAAUAGGAAAAGCGAAAAGGAAGGAAAACAUAGGAACACAUAUGUUUAUGCAGAACAAAUAAUCUUUUAAUUAAUCUUCAGUACAGUAUACAGACUAAUAAUUGCAUUUCAUCACAGAAUCACAGAAUCACAGUAUGGCCUGGGUUGGAAGGGAUCUCAGGAAUCAUGAAUCUCUAACCCCCCCGCCACAGGCAGGGCCAUCACAUGUAGAAAAAAAAACUGAUAUUGAAGUUUAGGAAUCAAUAUCUAAAAGGAAUGUCAAGGAAUUCAGACUACCACUAAAACUGUGAAUGCACAUUACUGAAUGCUUCUCUUUACUUGGAAGAGAUUUAUGAGGAAAGCUGUGUGUAUAUAUUAUAUAUACAAGGUCCUCAAACAGCAAAAUAACAUUAGCGUAAGCCAAAAUAAAGGUCAAUUUCCAAGCAUGAAGGAGGAAAAAUGUUUUUUUCUUGCUCUCUCAGUGAGUCUGAAUAAGGCUGAUGUACUCAGUGUGAAUUCUUUCUCUCACUCUUCAUUGGCGAGUUCUUUAGCUAUGCUACUCGGAUGCAGAAGGUACAGAGAAGGAGUAGGAAAAUGCAAAACUGCCCAAUGUAGGAGUGGAUUGGGUUCAAAAUACCCUAAGGAAUCUGAACAUGCACAAAUCCACAGAACUUCAUGAGAUGCAUCCACAGGUCCUGAGGGAACUGAUAGAGGAAGGUAUUAAGCCACUACCCAUCAUAUUUGAGAAGUCAUGGCAGUCUGGAGAAGUUCCUGGUGACUGGAAGAGGGGAAACAGAAUUCUCAUUUUUUUAAAAAGAGAAGAAAAGAAAAACUGGAGCCUGAAAAGCAACUCAGUUUCAUCUCUGUGCCUGGCAAAAUUAUGGAACAGGUUCCCCUGGAAACUAUGCUAAGGCACAUAGAAAAGAGAAAGGUGAUUGGUGACAGCUAGCAUGGGCCCACUAAGGGUGAACAGUGCCUAACAAAUGUGGUGAUCUUCUACAACAGAAUUAUAGCAUUAGUAGACAAGGCAAGAGGAAAUGACUGAUGUCAUCUACCUGGACCUGUGCAAAACAUCUGACAAUGUCCUGCAUGACAUCCUUGUCUCUAAAUUGGAGAUACAUGGAUUUGUUGGAUGGACCACUCAAUAAAUAUGUAAUUGACAUUCCUCAGGGGUCAACAUUGGGACCGACACUGUUUCUUUCUUGGCAACAUGGAUUAAGUGCACCCUCAGCAGCACUGUGGAUGACACCAAGCUGAGAGGUGCAAUCAAUAUGCUGAAGGGAAUAGAUGCCAUCCAGAGGGAUCUUGAAAACCUUGAGAAGUGGGCCUGUGCAUACUUCAUGAAGUUCAAAUGCAAGAUCCUCCAUGUGGGUCAGGAAAAUCCUCAGAACAAAUACAGGCUGGCAGGAGAAUGAAUUAAAAGCAGACUAUGUAGAAGGUCUUGGGUCUGCUCAUUGAUGAGACUGAAUAUGAGCUGGCAUUGUGCUCUUGCAGUCCAGAAGGCCAACCAUAUCCUGGGUUGCAUCAAGUGUGACCAGCAUUUUGAGAGAGGUGAUUUUCCCCCUGUACUCCACUCCCAUGAGACCCCAUCCCCAACCUGGAGUACUGUGUUCAGAUCUAGGGAACACAGCAUGAAAAAGAUGUGGACCUGUUGGAAUAGGUCCAGAGCAAGCUACAAGUGUGAUCAGAGGGUUGGAGCACCUCCCCUAUUACAAGAAGCUGAGAGAGUUGGGGUUGUUCAGGUUGGAGAAGAGUCUUCAAAGAAGACCUUAUAGCAGCCUUCUUGUAUCUAAAGAGGGCUUACAAGAAGGAUGAAAAGGGACUUUUUACAAGAGUAUGUAGUGAUCAUACAAAAGGUAAUUGUUUUAAACUGAAAAAGGUUAAAUUUAGAUUAGAUAUCUAAAACAAUUAGGGAACAAAUUCUCUAUGAGCUGCUGAUACCCUGGAACAGGUUGCCCAGAGAAACUAUAACUGCUCCAUCCCUGGAAGUGUUCAAGGGCUUGUUAGUUGGUAUUUUGAGCAACAUAGUCCAGGUUUGUUCCAGCCCAAACUAUUCUGAUUCUAAGAUUCUCCAACUAACUAGAGAAAAUGAGAAAAUAUAAAUUAUUAAAUGCAGCACAGAUGUUAAUAGAAUAAUUAUUUGCUUCUAAACAUUAUUAACAUUAUUAAUAAAAAUGUAUUGCAAUUUCACCUAACGUGAAGCCUUCUUACAUAUUGUGUAAAUACAUAAUAAAAUAUUUUAUUAUCUAAAGAAAAAUCUCAGGCACAACAUCUGUGCUGUUUACUAGAAACAGAAACAUUUCACAAGUUAUCCUACCACUUUUUCACAAUUUUCUUUAUCACUAUAAUUUAAAAUAAUAGAUUAGAAAAUGAGUAAGCCUCUUCAGAGAGUCUUGAAGGGAGACAAAUUCAUCUUUCACAUAUUUUGAACAAUUUCUAAAUAAAUAUUUAGCAAGGAAAAUCUCUGUUUCCUUAUUUUAUGUCAAACAACAUCCAUGAAAACAUUUGAUGAAUAUUGUAAGCAUUUUCUUUUCUUCCCAGAUUGAGCUAAAAUAAAUAAAUAAAUAAUAAAAAUCAGAAUAUUGGAAAACUGCUUUGAUAAGAUCAGAAUGCAAUAAUUUGUGUGGAAAUUUAUGAAAUAAUUAUAAUUGUAGUACUUAAUAGUAUUAAUUUGUUAUAUUUGAAUAGAAUUGGAUGAAA